Long non-coding RNA from Chelonus insularis, 434 nucleotides. RefSeq lists it as uncharacterized. NCBI's taxonomy places the organism in Eukaryota, Metazoa, Arthropoda, Insecta, Hymenoptera, Braconidae. The record is from RefSeq and is a predicted model, not a curated record. The transcript is spliced from 3 exons.
UUCAGAUUAUCCUGACUAAAUUUAAUCGAAGUAUAACAACAAAAGACUUUACGUGCAUUGAAAUGCAGACUGGUCGUCCAUGGACUUAUCAAACUGAUUUAUAUUGUGUAGCUGUUUCACCUCAUUGUCUUUAUUUUGAGGGAAACACAUGAGAGCUGUUUUGUCUGGUAACCGUUGGUUCAUUAAUUGAAAAAUGUCAAGAUUAAAUAUCAAUCCAUUAUAGUAAUAAUAAUAAUAAUAAUAAUAAUAAUAAUAAUAAUAAUAAAAUCAACUCUAAAGAAACUGAUCAUAAAGGACUGAGUGAAGUGGAUAUUCAAUGGAGGAAGUUGAAUCAGAUGCCAUGCAAUUAUUAUUAUAAAAGUGAGGAAAGCCUUGUGAAAUAUUUGCAACUGUGUCCAAGGAAAUAUGGCUGUGGAAAAUGCUCUCUCAUAUUC